CAGUCGCCGCGGUAAUACGAGGGGGGCAAGCGUUGUUCGGAAUUAUUGGGCGUAAAGGGUGCGUAGGCGGCUUGACAAGUCUUGUGUGAAAUCUAUGGGCUCAACCCAUAGUCUGCACGGGAAACUGUCGGGCUUGAGAAUGGGAGAGGUGAGUGGAAUUUCCGGUGUAGCGGUGAAAUGCGUAGAUAUCGGAAGGGACACCUGUGGCGAAAGCGGCUCACUGGACCAUUUCUGACGCUGAUGCACGAAGGCUAGGGGAGCAAACAGGAUUAGAUACCCCUGUAGUCCCUGUCUCUUAUAC
This 301-nucleotide ribosomal RNA is filed under the name uncultured bacterium. RNAcentral describes it as "partial 16S ribosomal RNA". It matches the Rfam family "Bacterial small subunit ribosomal RNA", at positions 509 to 807 of the family's 1533-position model. The record is from RNAcentral.